UCAAUGGUCGAUUUUAAAUUUGCAACAUCCCAGGAAUUGUUGCCGACCCAUUCAUUUAUUUUGCACAUGCGGAAACGUAAACAAUCUCCAUACAACAAAACAGUGGGAUAGAAACGUAGGAUAUUAUUUUUCACAAACUACAACUACAACAUUAUCGUAUCUAUGUAAAUAGACCAGUUUAACACCCCCAAGGUUUGAUACAAAAGUGAAGCUAUUCGAUUAACCACUAACUAAGCUUCUAUUUAUAAAAUUGGGGUUUACUAUUACAAUACCAUACUUCUCAAUAUCUCGGGGGUGAGCUGUCACCCUACAUCCAGUCUUGACGGAAAAUCCGUCAUCACUUGGAAGGAGAUAGCGAGAAUCCUAUUCCUCCUUUACUGCGACCAACUGUACACGAUCCAGCCUUCCUCCAUUUAUGGACCUGAAAAAUGUUAGCCCACUAAGGGGUGAGAUCACAUCUCAGCGAGUAAAUCUCCUAAUUCCAGAUUAGGUGAAGGGUACAUCCAGCAUGCAAUCUAAUCACAUUUCUUACCACUCUUUUAACACCAGCAAGUUCCUGCAUAUUAGCAUCAAAUAAAAUAUUCCUAACAGUGUCAAGUUCACACAUCACAGGAAUACUUUAACAUAAGCAUAUGCAAGGUGUGAAUAUCCAUGUAAGCAUACAGGCCAUAGUCAAUGUAACAGAUAACAGUCUUCCGGCAAAACCGGGCAUCUCAUAUGUCACAAAUGAUGUUAAUGCUCAGAUAACAGUCUUCCGGUAUAACCGGGCAUCUCAUAUGUCACAAAUGAUGUUAAUGCUCAGAUAACAGUCUUCCGGUAUAACCGGGCAUCUCAUAUGUCACAAAUGAUGUUAAUGCUCAGAUAACAGUCUUCCGAUAUAACCGGGCAUCGCCUCACACCGUUGAGCGCGGCAACGUCUACAUCUAGACGGCAUUCCAAUUAAGGAGCAUCGGUCCAGCCUCCACUGCGACCGGCAUCCGUUGACGUGGGGCAUUCCCGAAGGAGCAUCGCCCGGCCUCAAAGGCUCGUGGCGGAAUCUCAUGUUGUGAAUGCAUAUGAUCAAUUUCACAUUUCAAUAAUCAAUUAUAUACAGCAUCCACAGAAUCAAUUGAGCACUUUCAUAGCAAGAAUUCUUCAAAACAAGUAUAUAUUCUUAUUCAUCCAAAUUGACAGAGAACUGCCCAAUAAUGCUCUCCCAAUUUCGAAGUCAGAAAGUCAUCCAUACGAUCUCGAAAAUUCUCAAAUUCGGAUACGUACUAGAAAACAUAUAAUCAAACAUUUUUCAUGAAGACACCGAGAUCCAGAUCUCUCUGGAUUCGGCCCAGAAAUUGUUUCUAUCCAGCACACUUUUCUGGUCCAGUUCCAGAGAGCCAAACCUAUCGAAAUCAGUUCGUUUUUGGGUCGAAACAUGCUUCGUUUGACUUGAAAUUUAAUUAUGUUAAACUAAAAGUUAUAAAAAACAACUUUCGUGAAGGAACCAAUUGAAAAUUCGACCUCUAAAGGUCAUUAACAUCCCUCAGAAUCAUAAUAGGUCACGGAUUACAAAACUGUCCGAUUAUUGUUCCGAGGAUGACGUCAUUAAAAUCGUCAUCUUUUUAAUUUAUAAAAAUUAAUAGAAAAAUAUAUGUUGUUAUUUAAGAUGUUCACAACGUUUCUUCAGAACAAAAUCCUUUCAAAAUCGCAACACAAAGUUGUCUACAAAAUUAGCAAAACAUACAUGUUCUAGAAACUGUUUCAGUAAUCAACUACUGUUCUAGUCCGAAUCUUCCACCACGACUUUUGUUUUGCUCUCUAAGCCUUAUCUAAGCUUUUCUAUGUCUAUCAUAACAUCCCUAACCAACAUCCAUCCAUAUCUAACAUCAUCUACAUAUUUUUAACUUGUACGAAUCCCUAAUAGAGGUACUCAACCCCUAGUCCAGAUUUAGAAGACAACUCACCUAAACACAGCUAACGGCGGCUCUCGUUGGUGGUUGAACAGCAACACAGAGACCAGCCUUGAUCCUCUUGGUGAUGGUGUUGAGCCGAAACCGCAGAAGAUUGUGAAGUGGUAUGAUGGCAACGGCAACACACAAACUUAUAAAUUUUUCGGUAGAGGAAACUAAGUAUGGAGUUUGGUCGUUCAAGAGGGAGCAAGAAUGGAAGUAGCACGUUCAGAAAAAAGAAAACAACGGCUUGUACGUUGAAAAAGACAAGGAAGAAGAAUAAACUAAGAGGAAGAAAGGGAAAGAUGGAAGCUGCCGUGUAAAUACAGCAGACAGACUUACAGCAGAAAACUUCUAUGCGUGAGGAAAAAGGUGGGGAAGGAGAGUGAAAGUUGC
Molecule: long non-coding RNA, 2318 nt
Filed under: Eucalyptus grandis
Lineage: Eukaryota; Viridiplantae; Streptophyta; Magnoliopsida; Myrtales; Myrtaceae
Description: long non-coding RNA (EGRA_LNC002823)
Source: RNAcentral